RNAcentral lists this small RNA (351 nucleotides) under Pongo abelii (Sumatran orangutan). RNAcentral's name for it is "processed transcript". Lineage: Eukaryota; Metazoa; Chordata; Mammalia; Primates; Hominidae. The record is from RNAcentral.
CUCUACUGAGAUGAAGAAAGAAAAAGAAUACAUGCUCAGCUCCAGGGACACGUAAAGGGACAGAGAUUGGGGGACAGAAGGAAGUGCAUUAAUUCCUUCCACGACCCCUGAAGAGCAGCGGUGGGUCUGAGCAUGCUAUCUCCAUGAAGCAGGCCAGCAGGAUUUCCAAAGAUGAUGUUAAACCCAGCCAUGGUUCUCAUCUCCAGGAAAGCAAUUGCUGUGGUACAAAAGGACAAGGGUUAAAAGAGAACAGUGGGAGCUCUCUUUCCCAACUAACUCCAGGUGUGACGCAGAGGCUUUCAGCACAGGCCAGGGUGCCCGGGACUGAAAACUCCUUCACCAACCCCUCCA